Drosophila ananassae is the source of this 46-nucleotide non-coding RNA. The record is from Rfam. Lineage: Eukaryota; Metazoa; Arthropoda; Insecta; Diptera; Drosophilidae.
GAAGGGGCCCUUUUCAGGGCCACAAAAAUAUUAAAGAGAUAAAAAU